GAACGCUGGCGGCGUGCCUAAUACAUGCAGGUCGAGCGAACAGACGAGGAGCUUGCUCCUCUGACGUUAGCGGCGGACGGGUGAGUAACACGUGGAUAACCUACCUAUAAGACUGGGAUAACUUCGGGAAACCGGAGCUAAUACCGGAUAAUAUAUUGAACCGCAUGGUUCAAUAGUGAAAGACGGUUUUGCUGUCACUUAUAGAUGGAUCCGCGCCGCAUUAGCUAGUUGGUAAGGUAACGGCUUACCAAGGCGACGAUGCGUAGCCGACCUGAGAGGGUGAUCGGCCACACUGGAACUGAGACACGGUCCAGACUCCUACGGGAGGCAGCAGUAGGGAAUCUUCCGCAAUGGGCGAAAGCCUGACGGAGCAACGCCGCGUGAGUGAUGAAGGUCUUCGGAUCGUAAAACUCUGUUAUUAGGGAAGAACAAAUGUGUAAGUAACUAUGCACGUCUUGACGGUACCUAAUCAGAAAGCCACGGCUAACUACGUG
Molecule: ribosomal RNA, 494 nt
Filed under: uncultured bacterium
Lineage: Bacteria
Description: partial 16S ribosomal RNA
Rfam family: Bacterial small subunit ribosomal RNA
Source: RNAcentral